GACGAACGCUGGCGGCGUGCCUAAUACAUGCAAGUAGAACGCUGAAGAGAGGAGCUUGCUCUUCUUGGAUGAGUUGCGAACGGGUGAGUAACGCGUAGGUAACCUGCCUUGUAGCGGGGGAUAACUAUUGGAAACGAUAGCUAAUACCGCAUAACAAUGGAUGACACAUGUCAUUUAUUUGAAAGGGGCAAUUGCUCCACUACAAGAUGGACCUGCGUUGUAUUAGCUAGUAGGUGAGGUAACGGCUCACCUAGGCGACGAUACAUAGCCGACCUGAGAGGGUGAUCGGCCACACUGGGACUGAGACACGGCCCAGACUCCUACGGGAGGCAGCAGUAGGGAAUCUUCGGCAAUGGGGGCAACCCUGACCGAGCAACGCCGCGUGAGUGAAGAAGGUUUUCGGAUCGUAAAGCUCUGUUGUAAGUCAAGAACGAGUGUGAGAGUGGAAAGUUCACACUGUGACGGUAGCUUACCAGAAAGGGACGGCUAACUACGUGCCAGCAGCCGCGGUAAUACGUAGGUCCCGAGCGUUGUCCGGAUUUAUUGGGCGUAAAGCGAGCGCAGGCGGUUUGAUAAGUCUGAAGUUAAAGGCUGUGGCUCAACCAUAGUUCGCUUUGGAAACUGUCAAACUUGAGUGCAGAAGGGGAGAGUGGAAUUCCAUGUGUAGCGGUGAAAUGCGUAGAUAUAUGGAGGAACACCGGUGGCGAAAGCGGCUCUCUGGUCUGUAACU
RNAcentral lists this ribosomal RNA (730 nucleotides) under uncultured Bacilli bacterium. Its description in RNAcentral is "bacterial SSU rRNA". It matches the Rfam family "Bacterial small subunit ribosomal RNA", at positions 28 to 741 of the family's 1533-position model. Lineage: Bacteria; Bacillati; Bacillota; Bacilli. The record is from RNAcentral.